RNAcentral lists this ribosomal RNA (254 nucleotides) under uncultured bacterium. Its description in RNAcentral is "partial 16S ribosomal RNA". It matches the Rfam family "Bacterial small subunit ribosomal RNA", at positions 524 to 776 of the family's 1533-position model. The record is from RNAcentral.
UACGUAGGGGGCGAGCGUUGACCGAAGUUACUGGGCGUAAAGCGCGCGUAGGCGGUUUCUUAAGUCUGGGGUGAAAGGUUCAACGCUCGACGUGAACAGUGCCUUGGAUACUGGGAGACUUGAGUUAGGGAGAGGGUAGUGGAUUUCCUGGUGUAGCGGUGAAAUGCGUAGAUAUCAGGAGGAACACCAAUGGCGAAGGCAGCUACCUAGCCUAUAACUGACGCUGAGGCGCGAAGGCGUGGGGAGCAAACGGG